GAAUUUAAUAUAAAGUAGUUUUAAUUAGUUAGAUAAGAGGAUUCUAUUUUAUUUUUAGUUGGGAUAAUUAUUAAAUUUAAGAAAUUUUAAUUAAAGAAAAUAUAAAUUAGUGAGUUUAAAUGAAUGGUAGAUAAAUUUAAGUAGAAUAAAUUACCUUAGGGAUAACAGCGUUAUAUUUUUGGUGAGAUCUUAUCUAUAAAAAUGUUUGC
Molecule: ribosomal RNA, 209 nt
Filed under: Carebara sp. KW14.01
Lineage: Eukaryota; Metazoa; Arthropoda; Insecta; Hymenoptera; Formicidae
Description: partial large subunit ribosomal RNA
Source: RNAcentral